Molecule: ribosomal RNA, 1556 nt
Filed under: human metagenome
Description: bacterial LSU rRNA
Rfam family: Bacterial large subunit ribosomal RNA
Source: RNAcentral
CGAGUGAGAAUGCCGGAAUGAGUAGCGAGAAUUAUGUGGGAAUCAUAAUGGCCGAAAAUCUAAGGUUUCCUGGGGAAGGUUCGUCCGCCCAGGGUAAGCCGGGAGCUAAGGCGAGGCCGCAAGGCGUAGUCGAUGCACAUACGGUAGAAAUUCCGUAGCCGGCUCAAUCGUUAAGCAUACUGACACAUGAGAGUAGCUCUACCGGGCGUUGGUUGCCCCGGGCGUAAGCGAGCCGAAUGAGGCGAAGUGAGUAAAUCUUGUGGCGAGAAAAGGUGUGUGUAUUGGUUGGGCUGCCCGUACCGCAAACCGACACAGGUAGAUGAGGAGAAGAUCCUAAGGCCAUCGGGAGAAGGGUUGUUAAGGAACUAGGCAAAUUGACCCCGUAACUUCGGGAGAAGGGGUGCCUACGAGAGUAGGCCGCAGAGAAUCGGCCCAAGCAACUGUUUACCAAAAACACAGGUCUCUGCUAAAUCGAAAGAUGACGUAUAGGGGCUGACGCCUGCCCGGUGCUGGAAGGUUAAGAGGAGGACUUAGUGGCAACACGAAGGCCCGAAUUGAAGCCCCAGUAAACGGCGGCCGUAACUAUAACGGUCCUAAGGUAGCGAAAUUCCUUGUCAGGUAAGUUCUGACCCGCACGAAAGGCGUAAUGAUUUGGGCACUGUCUCAACAGCCCGCCCGGCGAAAUUGUAGUACCGGUGAAGAUGCCGGUUACCCGCAACUAGACGGAAAGACCCCAUGGAGCUUUACUGCAGCUUAAUACUGAGAUUCGGUAAAUCAUGUACAGGAUAGGUGGGAGACUAAGAAGCCAGGCCGUCAGGUUUGGUGGAGUCGUCCUUGGGAUACCACCCUUGGUUUGCUGGGUUUCUAACCUGCGGCCCUGAAUCGGGUCGGGGGACACUGUUAGGCGGGCAGUUUGACUGGGGCGGUCGCCUCCUAAAGAGUAGCGGAGGCGCUCAAAGGUUGGCUCAGCAUGGAUGGAAACCAUGCAAUGAGUGUAAACGUAUAAGCCAGCCUGACUGCGAGACCGACGGGUCGAGCAGAGACGAAAGUCGGAGUUAGUGAUCCGGUGGUAUGUGAGUGGAAAUGCCAUCGCUCAACGGAUAAAAGCUACCCUGGGGAUAACAGGCUGAUCUCCCCCAAGCGUCCACAGCGACGGGGAGGUUUGGCACCUCGAUGUCGGCUCGUCGCAUCCUGGGGCUGAAUUAGGUCCCAAGGGUUUGGCUGUUCGCCAAUUAAAGCGGCACGCGAGCUGGGUUCAGAACGUCGUGAGACAGUUCGGUCCCUAUCUGUUGCGGGCGUAGGAGAUUUGAAGGGAGCUGACCUUAGUACGAGAGGACCGGGUUGGACGUACCUCUGGUGUACCAGUUGUUCUGCCAAGGGCAUGGCUGGGUAGCUACGUACGGACGAGAUAAACGCUGAAGGCAUCUAAGCGUGAAACUCUCCCUGAGAUAAGAUCUCCACUGAGGCUCGACGUAGACUAUGUCGUUGAUAGGUCAGAGGUGGAAGCACAGCAAUGUGUGUAGCUGACUGAUACUAAUAAGCCGAAAGCUUGACCA